Molecule: ribosomal RNA, 497 nt
Filed under: uncultured bacterium
Lineage: Bacteria
Description: partial 16S ribosomal RNA
Rfam family: Bacterial small subunit ribosomal RNA
Source: RNAcentral
GACGAACGCUGGCGGCGUGCCUAAUACAUGCAAGUUGAGCGCUGAAGGUUGGUACUUGUACCAACUGGAUGAGCAGCGAACGGGUGAGUAACGCGUGGGGAAUCUGCCUUUGAGCGGGGGACAACAUUUGGGAACGAAUGCUAAUACCGCAUAAAAACUUUAAACACAAGUUUUAAGUUUGAAAGAUGCAAUUGCAUCACUCAAAGAUGAUCCCGCGUUGUAUUAGCUAGUUGGUGAGGUAAAGGCUCACCAAGGCGAUGAUACAUAGCCGACCUGAGAGGGUGAUCGGCCACAUUGGGACUGAGACACGGCCCAAACUCCUACGGGAGGCAGCAGUAGGGAAUCUUCGGCAAUGGACGCAAGUCUGACCGAGCAACGCCGCGUGAGUGAAGAAGGUUUUCGGAUCGUAAAACUCUGUUGGUAGAGAAGAACGUUGGUGAGAGUGGAAAGCUCAUCAAGUGACGGUAACUACCCAGAAAGGGACGGCUAACUACGUG